GCGCGAGAUAAAUCACGAGAGGAAGCUUAAAUCUGUCGUUUGAAUUUAGGACCACCUCGGUUCACAAUGGUCCGUAGUGGAAAAAAUGGUGACCUUCAUCUUAAACAGAUUGCAUAUUACAAACGAACUGGUGAAUAUCAUUCAACUACACUGCCAAGUGAGAGAAGUGGCAUAAGAAGAGCAGCAAAAAAAUUUGUCUUCAAAGGAGGUGCCUGCAAAAUCUUCCUACUUUGAGUACUCCCAG
RNAcentral lists this long non-coding RNA (244 nucleotides) under Homo sapiens (human). RNAcentral describes it as "HSALNT0092277". The record is from RNAcentral. Lineage: Eukaryota; Metazoa; Chordata; Mammalia; Primates; Hominidae.